AUUGAACGCUGGCGGCAGGCUUAACACAUGCAAGUCGAGCGGGGUGAUGGUGCUUGCACUAUCACUUAGCGGCGGACGGGUGAGUAAUGCUUAGGAAUCUGCCUAUUAGUGGGGGACAACAUCUCGAAAGGGAUGCUAAUACCGCAUACGUCCUACGGGAGAAAGCAGGGGAUCACUUGUGACCUUGCGCUAAUAGAUGAGCCUAAGUCGGAUUAGCUAGUUGGGGGGGUAAAGGCCUACCAAGGCGACGAUCUGUAGCGGGUCUGAGAGGAUGAUCCGCACCGCUUGGACUGAGACACGCCCCAGACUCCUACGGGAGGAAGCAGUGGGGAAUAUUGGACAAUGGGGGGAACCCUGAUCCAGCCAUGCCGCGUGUGUGAAGAAGGCCUUAUGGUUGUAAAGCACUUUAAGCGAGGAGGAGGCUCUUUUGGUUAAUACCCAAGAUGAGUGGACGUUACUCGCAGAAUAAGCACCGGCUAACUCUGUGCCAGCCGCCGCAGUAA
This 503-nucleotide ribosomal RNA is filed under the name uncultured bacterium. RNAcentral describes it as "partial 16S ribosomal RNA". It matches the Rfam family "Bacterial small subunit ribosomal RNA", at positions 30 to 523 of the family's 1533-position model. The record is from RNAcentral.